Molecule: transfer RNA, 77 nt
Filed under: Clostridia bacterium
Lineage: Bacteria; Bacillati; Bacillota; Clostridia
Description: tRNA-Arg
Rfam family: tRNA
About the family: Transfer RNA (tRNA) molecules are approximately 80 nucleotides in length.
Source: RNAcentral
CCGCUCUUAGCUCAGUUGGAUAGAGCAACGGAUUCCGAUUCCGUAGGUCGGGGGUUCGAGUCCCCUAGGGCGGGCCA